Molecule: ribosomal RNA, 253 nt
Filed under: uncultured bacterium
Lineage: Bacteria
Description: partial 16S ribosomal RNA
Rfam family: Bacterial small subunit ribosomal RNA
Source: RNAcentral
UACGGGGGGGGCAAGCGUUGUUCGGAAUUACUGGGCGUAAAGGGCAAGUAGGCGGCCAACUAAGUCGGAUGUGAAAUCCCCAGGCUUAACUUGGGAACUGCAUCCGAUACUGGAUGGCUUGAAUUCGGGAGAGGGAUGCAGAAUUCCAGGUGUAGCGGUGAAAUGCGUAGAUAUCUGGAGGAAUACCGGUGGCGAAGGCGGCAUCCUGGACCGAGAUUGACGCUGAACGGCGAAAGCUAGGGGAGCAAACGGG